RNAcentral lists this RNase P RNA (352 nucleotides) under Prevotellaceae bacterium. RNAcentral describes it as "RNase P RNA component class A". It matches the Rfam family "Bacterial RNase P class A". Rfam says of the family: Ribonuclease P (RNase P) is a ubiquitous endoribonuclease, found in archaea, bacteria and eukarya as well as chloroplasts and mitochondria. Its best characterised activity is the generation of mature 5'-ends of tRNAs by cleaving the 5'-leader elements of precursor-tRNAs. Lineage: Bacteria; Pseudomonadati; Bacteroidota; Bacteroidia; Bacteroidales; Prevotellaceae. The record is from RNAcentral.
AUGGUAGAACGUGUUAUCGCUGUUCUUUGAAAAGAGAAUGGAGGAAAGUCCGGACAGGAUAGAGCACUGUGCUGUUGAAAAACAGAUGUUUGUAAGGAUAUGGCAAUGUAACAGAAAAUAACCGCCCUGUUUUUACAGGGUAAGGGUGAAAAGGUGAGGUAAGAGCUUACCGCAAUUUGUGGCAACACAGUUGGCAAGAUAACCCGCAGCCUGCAAGACCAUGUACACCGGCGUCAAGAGCUGCUCGCUCGUGUCGGGGGGUAGGUCGCACUUCCUGCUGAACAGGAGACAGAUAAAUGAUAACGAUUCCUUUAACGGAAUACAGAAUCCGGCUUACAGUUCUACCAUUUUA